This 205-nucleotide long non-coding RNA is filed under the name Marmota monax (woodchuck). The record is from RNAcentral. Lineage: Eukaryota; Metazoa; Chordata; Mammalia; Rodentia; Sciuridae.
CCUGGGACUAACCGGUGCACCACCCCUGACUGCUGAAAGUUCUGGUUCCCGGGUUUCGGCACCACUUGUCGCGACCCCUUGCCCGCAAGGAAGACGCAACUCAGGAAUCUUCUUUCAGCAGUUUAUUCAGGCCUUUGAUAUUUCUUCUUCUCUCCCUCGGAUGCCCCUCCCAGCCUUAAUAAAGCAUCUCAAGCCCCAAUGCGAA